This 253-nucleotide ribosomal RNA is filed under the name uncultured bacterium. RNAcentral describes it as "partial 16S ribosomal RNA". It matches the Rfam family "Bacterial small subunit ribosomal RNA", at positions 524 to 776 of the family's 1533-position model. The record is from RNAcentral.
UACGGAGGGGGUUAGCGUUGUUCGGAAUUACUGGGCGUAAAGCGCGCGUAGGCGGAUUAGAAAGUUGGGGGUGAAAUCCCGGGGCUCAACCCCGGAACUGCCUCCAAAACUACUAUUCUAGAGUUCGAGAGAGGUGAGUGGAAUUCCGAGUGUAGAGGUGAAAUUCGUAGAUAUUCGGAGGAACACCAGUGGCGAAGGCGGCUCACUGGCUCGAUACUGACGCUGAGGUGCGAAAGUGUGGGGAGCAAACAGG